RNAcentral lists this ribosomal RNA (496 nucleotides) under uncultured bacterium. Its description in RNAcentral is "partial 16S ribosomal RNA". It matches the Rfam family "Bacterial small subunit ribosomal RNA", at positions 29 to 507 of the family's 1533-position model. The record is from RNAcentral.
AUGAACGCUGGCGGCGUGCCUAAUACAUGCAAGUCGAGCGAACGGACGAGAAGCUUGCUUCUCUGAUGUUAGCGGCGGACGGGUGAGUAACACGUGGAUAACCUACCUAUAAGACUGGGAUAACUUCGGGAAACCGUAGCUAAUACCGGAUAAUAUUUUGAACCGCAUGGUUCAAAAGUGAAAGACGGUCUUGCUGUCACUUAUAGAUGGGUCCGCGCUGCAUUAGCUAGUUGGUAAGGUAACGGCUUACCAAGGCAACGAUGCAUAGCCGACCUGAGAGGGUGAUCGGCCACACUGGAACUGAGACACGGUCCAGACUCCUACGGGAGGCAGCAGUAGGGAAUCUUCCGCAAUGGGCGAAAGCCUGACGGAGCAACGCCGCGUGAGUGAUGAAGGUCUUCGGAUCGUAAAACUCUGUUAUUAGGGAAGAACAUAUGUGUAAGUAACUGUGCACAUCUUGACGGUACCUAAUCAGAAAGCCACGGCUAACUACGUG